UUUGCCAUUGCGAUGUAUUUUAUGGAAUUAAGUAUCGAAUAUUUAUUUCCCAUGUGCAAUUUUGCAUUACACUUUACAGUAUGUACAUGUACGUGCGUUAUGUAUGCGAGAAGCUGCGCAGAUUAUUCGAUAGGUUUUUGUUUGGAAUGUGUUAGGUUCGCAUUUGAGAUGUGGCUCAGGCUCAGACUAAAAUUCAUCAAUACGCUCGAUGCUGUAUGAAAUGAGAUUAAUAAAAUAUUCAUAAUAAUGUGUGUAUUGGUGUGUAGUAAUCACAUAGUGUUUCACUGCUUCUGAGAAAGCUUGUGCUACGAUAUUGGGUGCGAGUUGAGUUGAAUUGAAUUGAAUGAAACGAUCAAACAAGUAGAAUUGGUGACUUAUUUAUUGUAAUUGUUCAGAUAUUCUAAAUGGUGCUUCAAGUUUCUUUUUCAUUUUGAUAAUUCCAAUCCGAGUUGGUCAGGUUUCGUGUCUUACUUUGAAAAUUUGGUAGGUAAUACUUUGUCGUGUGGUUCAAUUAUGCACCUUUUUCAUAAUUUUUAGUCGACGUUUUGUAUACGAAAGUGAAGUAUUACCUAUGUAGGUAAUUCAUUUCGAUUGUGAUGGCCUGAUGGUAGUCGGCGUUGGAAUCCGAUUCAAUGGUAAGCUUUAAUGAGAUGGUAUAUUUUAAUUCGCAAGUAAUAAUGUCUCUGGUUUCAUUUCCAUGUUCAUCGAUCGAAUCUUCCCGUUUACAUAAGUAUGUCUCGGUGUACCUACCUAGUACCUACAUACCUGCAAUAAUUAGAUAAAAAUUGUUCAAAUGUUAGAAAUAUUUUAAUUCGCAAGGUUCGCAAGUAAUAGUAUGUUUAGUUUCAUUUUCACGAUUUCACGUUCGUCGAUCGAAUCUUUCAGUUUAGGCUAUGUCUCAGUGUACCAAAAUUCUACGUUCUAUUCGAAAAAAUUGUUCAAUAACAUAAUUCGUAAGUCUAAGUACGUAGGCUAUGUAAAUACAUAAUGUAUUUUACGUAAUACACACUCGUAAUCUCAUCAUUACACGUCUGUCGCUAGAUGCAAAAUGUACGUCAUUAUGAGCGACCUAAUGCCGGGUCAAACACGUACAUAAUAGCCGUAUUAUGUACGUGGUGUUAUGUGGCAACGCCGCGAAACUCCUCAUUACGUACGCGUUACGUUUGGACAUAAUUUAACCGGUGAACUGGUGAAGUUUGGUCACUCAUAGACGCACAUUUUUUGCAUCUAAACAACAGAAGUGUAAAAUGGUGAGGUUACGAGUGUUUAUUAUGUAAAGCACCUUACAUUACGCGAUUAAUAAAGUGUGUGAUUAUGAACUCGUGCAAAGUUACAGCGCUCGUCUUCGACUCGCGCAGUAACUUUGCACUCGUUCAUAAUCACCCACAUUAUUAAUCUAGUAAUGUAAUGUACUAUUUGGUUUCAUUUUCAUAAUAUGUAUUUCGUGUCUCCGUAGUCGGUAUUAUUCAUUAUCGGAAGCGCGGCGCGGUGGCGGCGGCGACAGUGACAUCCAAUCAACCAAUUCGAAGGCGAAGCUGUUCGCAGCUCGCAUUCCUCUCCUUUCCGGUCCCUCUAGGCGAACAUUUGCGAACAGUAGAUUAGAUGAGCUUGCUUAUAUCGUGAUCAUUGGUCAUCUAUCGCCAUCUUUUUUCUUCGUUUUUGAAUUAUUGAAUAUUAUGAGUUCGUUUAUUCGUUUAACCGUGGUGUACAAUGGUGUACCUGAUGAUAUCUGAAUGCAAUUUUUCCUUCAGUUUGGUUUUAUGACAUUUAAUUAUCGUACUGUCUCGUAAUCGAACGGUUUCUUCCCUUUCAGUCUGCAUUUGCGAUACCAGUGGCUUUUUCACUUCGUUCGAAUGAAUUGGUUUCAAUGAGUUAUUUUUGGGUCGUAUCUAUGCAUCUCAUAUUUAAUUGGACAAAAAUCUUGCACAAUGAUGUUCACUCGGCGCGGCGUGUGCCGUUUGGGUUUGCUGUUAGACUUCCCAAUCAUCUGGAAUAUCUUGAGUAGGCCUACAAUUUGUUGUGAAAGAGCUCCGCCGCUCUGUAUUGAAAGUUCGAAACCAGAAUAACAAGAGGUUCAAUUUAUUUAUGCCGGUCUACUCGUUGUGUUACUACACCGCUGAAAUGUGCGUUUAUGGAAGAAGGAAGACCUAACAUGUUCGCUUGUUUGCAUCAGAUUUUUGAAUUGAUGUAAUUUGCAAAAUGAAGUCAUCGUAGUUAUUUUACCGAGUGAAGAUCUCGAAUAAUCGAUCGCCAGCGAUUGGAAAAAACGUUUCGAUGUAACUCGGAAUUAUCGCCGAUGCUGUGAUGUCGAGAUUCAUCGAUUCAACAGUGCCUUAUCUGCAAGCUGAUCAUCGUCAUCUUCAUUCAGUUAUCUCAGCUCGUCGUCUCCAGUAUCCCAUCUUGUCAGCAUAUGGGUUAGUUAUUGAAAAUUUUCUUCGGAUGAAUCGAUUUUUUUUCACCCCCCCCCCCCCUCCCCCCGGAAUAUACUUACUUAGUUCAAAAUGAUGGAAAAAGUACGGAAACGAAAAUUAAAUCGAUACAAUAAGUUACAUCGGUACCUAGUACUUACGUAGGUAUAUUGCUCUAUUUUUCCUGAAUUUUUUCAUAUAAAUGAUGAACGAGCGAAUAUAGGAUGAUUUUGAAUUCGCUUGUUGUACCAAAUUUUCCUCUUUUCGUUUUGGAAUACGAUUGCCUGUGCCUAUUAUGGGCUCUCGAUGCGUUGUUAUUAUUACAAGAACAGACGAUUGAUGAAUUUAGGAUCAUUCACACUUACUAUACUAACGAGUACUUAUAAGUAUUGUCAACAGUAUUUUAUUAUUUUUGAUGCGCAUGUUUCCCCUCCCUCCCCCUCCCAAACUGCGAAUUAUUUUGCUUCGUGUGUGAUAUCAAUUUUUAUAAUUAUUCGUAUAUUCAUUCGUGUUCGAUUCGCAAAAAUUCAUUGAAAUUCUUUGAUAUUUUCAUUAUUCUUUUUGAAAAUGAUUCGAUCGUAUUAUUCACUCGCGGAAAUCAUGUCGUUCGUGGUUCGGUUUCUGAUUUUGUGAGGUGAUUUAGGCUCUCUGUGUUCUUUAGAAAAACUGACGGAACAUGGGGCUGUAUAUUUUUUGGUUAUUUAGGAUAGGUACGAGUUUAACUACAACCUGAUAUUGUACCAGUUGCGGAUCAUAACUUUGAAUUCAAAGGUGAUAUGUUCGCAUGUAGCGCUGAUGGUAUGUGUAUUUGCGUGCAGAUCAUAGGUAAUAGGUAAUUGUUUUGAGGUUAGGAUGUUUGCAGGUAAUGUGCGGGUGGUGAGUGUUUUAUAUGUAUAGGGGAUGCGGUUGUGGCUGGUCUUGUUAAGUGCUGUCCGUCCUCGUCUGUUACGCAUCAACCCACAACCGUACUUUUUCCACUUUUCACGACAACCUGGCGGCGUGAUCCCUUGAAAAUUUCACUUUCUGAUAGUAUGGCGCCUACCUUAGCCAUAUGUAGUUGUGCAUCCGCGAAUCCACGUACGUACUCGCGCGGCGUAUCGUGGAGUCCAGCUGUUUUCGACUGCUGGUACGGAGCCGAUCAGCUGGAUUUUAUGCAGUAUCUACGAAGUAAGUCGAAACGCAUCCACGGUUCACGGGCUCUCGCUCAGGUUCCGUCAUGGUCAACGUUGUCAAAGCCGUAUGGAGCAGGGGGAGCGUCAUUCGGCGACUUGUCUGCUAGUGCUGCGGCGCAGCGGCCUGCUCAAUGGUGACGUAGUCAUCCUCUGGCUCACUCCUGCGACGCUCAGUGGGGUCGUCCUUACGGCGGCUUCGACUGUAUACCCAAGUCAUAAUAAGGGGUUGUCGUAAGAGGUUACGACUCAUACGGUUUAAACGUUUGCGUUUCAUCUAGUGGUUGUGAGCCGUUGGAUUGACCAGCUCACAACUGCGACCUUAGUUCCGGUUCAUCAAAGAUAUGGAGUGGGGAUGGUUUAUAUUGCCCUACGAAUCGCAAUAUUGCCAUUCUUGCCGUCGAGGAUGACCUGCCUUGGUUGGAUUGCCAGAUCUGCCUGCGAUCCAACCACACGCACAGUAAGUGGUGCACUCUAGGUUUUGCAUCACUUGCUUGCGUGAAAUGUCACGUGAGUUUUUGUGAGAGAAAUUUCAAACCUGAAAGGCUGACCUGGUUUUGUUGCUUCGGUCAACUUGCCAGGCAGGUGAGCGUGUGUGUAGCGAGUAUGGUGAUCUGGACUGCGUACGAUGUCUGGUUGUAAUUGAAUUUGUAUUUUUAAAUAAAAUUUUCAAUGACAAAUCAUCAAGGAGGAAUGAAUUUGUGAUGGGCUGCUAUAUUUGAUAAUCGUUGAAGUUAUGGAGUACCUACAUAUAUUUUAUCGCGCUGAAAUAUUUAAAACAUCGUUGAAAUUAACGCUAUCCUGUAAUUUGGGUAAAUUCAUGAUGAAAAGAUUCUAGAAAAAUGAAUUUUUGAUAUAAUUUUACUAAAAAAUGUGAUAAGUAAUUAUCUGUUUUGUUUUGAAGAAAAUUGGGUCCUGUACCAUGGUUCUUGUGUAUUUUUGUGUGAUACUACACCCCGCCUGUCCCUUAUUUUGUUUUUUGCUUCAUUUUUCACCAAUGCCGAAAUAGUUUUAAAUUAGAUACAAAAAUAUUCAGAAAAAUCGAUUUCCAAUCAUUCCCUUCACCCCCACCCCCGUUGUGCGAAUUUAUUUUGUUAUUAUGUUAGGUUGUUGAUGUUUGUAAUUUAAUGUUCAUGUAUUUGUGUUUAUUUACUUAAGGUUAACCUUGCAACUGUGUUGUAAUGAUCAAUCAAUUUGAUAUUCAUGUAUUUGUACAUAAUGUACCUUACUUAUGGCCAAAAUCAUGCUACUGUUUUGUAAUGAUCGAUCAAGGUUUUUCACGUCGAGCGGCCGGCGUGUUUUUUUAGCCCAGAUCGAUCAGUAAUUUGUGCCUAAGUGUUUUUUUUUUUUGUCUGCCGCUGAUUUGUUGAAUUUGAGUUUUGGUUGUGUGGUGUUUGAUUUUAUUAAUCACGUUUUUUACAGCGAACUAUCAACGAAAGAAUAAUCCGUAGAAAAGCAUCGCAAUGAAGCUACAUAAAUAUGUUGAACUGGAAAUGAUUGAUAAGCCACUCGCUCAUCGGCUAUGAUUAUGAUGAACUUGAUUGAAUUCAGAAACUAAUAGAUAUAAAUGAAGUUUUGAA
Molecule: long non-coding RNA, 5157 nt
Organism: Planococcus citri (citrus mealybug)
Lineage: Eukaryota; Metazoa; Arthropoda; Insecta; Hemiptera; Pseudococcidae
Exons: 4
Source: RefSeq, a predicted model, not a curated record